Molecule: ribosomal RNA, 293 nt
Filed under: uncultured bacterium
Lineage: Bacteria
Description: partial 16S ribosomal RNA
Rfam family: Archaeal small subunit ribosomal RNA
Source: RNAcentral
GUGCCAGCCGCCGUGGUAAUACCGGCAGCUCGAGUGAUGGCCAAUCUUAUUGGGCCUAAAGCGUCCGUAGCUGGCCGCGCAAGUCCGUCGGGAAAUCCAUCAGCCCAACGGGUGGGCGUCCGGUGGAAACUGCGUGGCUUGGGACCGGAAGGCGCGACGGGUACGUCCGGGGUAGGAGUGAAAUCCCGUAAUCCUGGACGGACCGCCGAUGGCGAAAGCACGUCGCGAAGACGGAUCCGACAGUGAGGGACGAAAGCUAGGGUCUCGAACCGGAUUAGAAACCCCUGUAGUCC